GCACUCUGAAAGAUCUGACACCCUCUGCUGAUCUGCAGUAGCAAAAAUCCAUCUGGCUAGGGAAUGCUGAAAGAAAAAAAAAUCAAUCCACGUACAGGGCAAGCGUUAAAAAUGUGGGCAUAAAAGGCUGACGAUCUACAUAGAUGCUUAUUUUAAAUGGAUUAUUUGAUUAUUUUUGCGUGCUGGAAACUUUACCCUUUCCUUUCCUUAACGAGUUCACAGCCCCCACCAGCUCCACCAUUCGGAAAGGAGUGCUUUUAAAACAUUUAUUUCCCAAUGGCUUGAAUAAAAUUAGUGUCAGGGUGUCAAGCGAACAGCAAUUUGAGGAGAGCUGCUGGAAGCCAAGAAAUGAAAAGAGAAUGGGGAAAUCCAGACAGAUUUAUGUAUAUAUUAAGGGUUUAUCUUGGAGGUUGAAAUCACAAUUCAAGAGGAAAUUCUUCAUGGGACAUUCUAAAGGAAAGUAAUGAUAACUAAUGUACCCACCAGAACCUCUUCUCACGUAAAAAUUGCCGCUGUCCCCAGCAAAUUCCGUCAAUCAUUUUACAAAUGCUAGCUUAUUAAAGAUAUACCAAAAAGUAGGUAACUAGGGCUAAAUCUGAGACCAUGAUGUUUCAGAGUUUUAGAAUAUUAUUGUGAAUACACAGGAGAAAACAAAUUUAAAUUUUGUAAUCACAUUUGAAAAGUCAGAGCAUCACUUUGAGGGUGGCAUUGAGAUUUAUGGCCAGAAGUCAAGUUCAGCUUUAAGUUUAAUGCCAUUCAGCCUGUAUCUGUGUCCCUGCAGCUAGGGUAGCUAGCUAGGUUCCUGUUUCUUCUUGGACAACCAUCUCUAUCAUAGUCAUUUAUUUCUAUUUUUAAAUAUAGCUUGGUACAUGGGUUUAUCUUAAAAGUACAACACAUACUCAGUUUCCAACUAUUUCAAGAUGAAGUUCAUAACUAAAUCACAGUAAGGUGUACUUUUCCUAGAAUAUUUUGCAUUGCCCAAAGCCUUUCCCUUUAACAUAGUACAAUGAAGCCUAGGAUGUGAGCUUUUAUCUAGUAGCUGAUUUGCAUAAUGUAAGUAUGCACACAUACAUAUAUGUAAAUGCACAUAUGUGUGUUUUCUGAAAUGUGGUUUUCUGUUUCAACUUGGUUCUUAUUAGAAUGAUUUUUUAAAGUGACUAAAUAUUCUUUAGAUUCAUUUGUUUUUUCAAUAAAAUUGACAUAGUAACUCAUUUUUGAGAAAAUAAGCUUCUGUAUAUAAUAAUGGAUGACAUCCAUUCUUUGUCAUUGUCUAUGUAACAUUCUCUGCCUACCCUAUUUUUUUUUAACUCCCUUCAACCCAUUUUCCAAUAUGGCGUAGCUUGAAAUUCUCACUCUAAAAAAAAUCCAUUCACUAGCAUGGAAAAUAUAUCAGCAUAUAAAUUUCAAAUAUAGUGAAAAUAUGAAUAAUAUCUUUGAAGUAAGUUUACUAGUUGAAUAGCUAUGUUAAAAGUAAUUGUGUAAAACAGAUACUAGAUUUGCAUUCUAAAACUCAUAGAGUAACAAUGUUUUCUUACAUAAAGUUUUUGGUAUAAUAGGUUUUACUUGAAGAGGACGAAUUUAGGAAAGUCUCAUUUUACAGUAGGUUUCUAAAAGGACUUUAGGCUUAUUUUACAUAGCCAUUGAUUUUUACAGAUCAUUAGACUGACCACAUAUUAUUUUAAUCUAGCUGCAUUUAGUUAAAUUGGUUAUUUGUAAUGUUUGUGACUUUUGCUAACUUAAAUUGCUUGUUUAUUAGCAUACGACCUGCAUAAAAAUAAUUGUUAUUGAAGAAUAUCACUACCAGAAAUUGCAAAUAUUAUCACUAUGAUUUAAAAAUUAAGUAUAAAACCACCA
This is a long non-coding RNA of Homo sapiens (human), 1854 nucleotides long. The record is from Ensembl. NCBI's taxonomy places the organism in Eukaryota, Metazoa, Chordata, Mammalia, Primates, Hominidae.